Molecule: ribosomal RNA, 345 nt
Filed under: Moschiola meminna (Indian spotted chevrotain)
Lineage: Eukaryota; Metazoa; Chordata; Mammalia; Artiodactyla; Tragulidae
Description: partial small subunit ribosomal RNA
Rfam family: Bacterial small subunit ribosomal RNA
Source: RNAcentral
AUAGUUGUUUAACAAAUCUAUUCGCCAGAGUACUAUUAGCCACAGCUUAAAACUCAAAGGACUUGGCGGUGCUUUAUAUCCAUCUAGAGGAGCCUGUUCUAUAAUCGAUAAACCCCGAUAAACCUCACCAACCCUCGCUAAUCCAGUCUAUAUACCGCCAUCUUCAGCAAACCCUAAAAAGGAACAAAAGUAAGCUCAACCAUUAUACAUAAAAACGUUAGGUCAAGGUGUAACCUAUGGGAUGGGAAGCAAUGGGCUACAUUUUCUACAUAAUAAGAACACACGAAAAUUCUCAUGAAAUUGAUAAUUAAAGGAGGAUUUAGUAGUAAGCUAAGAAUAGAGUGC